RNAcentral lists this ribosomal RNA (122 nucleotides) under Escherichia coli. Its description in RNAcentral is "partial 16S ribosomal RNA". It matches the Rfam family "Bacterial small subunit ribosomal RNA", at positions 1 to 113 of the family's 1533-position model. Lineage: Bacteria; Pseudomonadati; Pseudomonadota; Gammaproteobacteria; Enterobacterales; Enterobacteriaceae. The record is from RNAcentral.
UUAAAUUGAAGAGUUUGAUCAUGGCUCAGAUUGAACGCUGGCGGCAGGCCUAACACAUGCAAGUCGAACGGUAACAGGACACAGCUUGCUGUCUCGCUGACGAGUGGCGGACGGGUGAGUAA